ACCUAUGAAGGUCGAAGGGGAAGAAAAGCUGUAUCGAUUGUUGAGAUCUGGCGACUUGUUUAAAUUUCAUCAGCCUCACUUCUAUGAACUCUCAGGCCUCACGUGUACCAGCUCUCUGCUCUCCUUUGCCUUGGGACGUUCCAUCCCUGGAAGUUUCCCUGCCCACAUCUUUGUAGAGAGUCCAUUCUCCAAGCUUCAGUGUGUCAUCUGUGAGGACCGUGACCCACCUGGUACAUCGCCUCAGGGCAUUCAUUUCAGGCUCCUUCUAAAUGGCCAAGAUCUUGCUUUCUUUUGUAUGUUUGCAAAGAAUAUAUAGUACACUUCCUUGAUCUGUGGUUCCUAAAGUGUGAUUCCCAACAAGCAGCAUCAGGAUCAUCUGGAAACUUGAUAGAAAUGUAAAUUCUACAGUCCCUCCUUGGAGCUACAGAUUCAGAAAUUCUGAAGUUUAAGUCCAGCAGUUGGUUAUAAUAAGCUCUCUAGGUGAUUCUGACUUGCACCAAGGCACCCUUGGAAAUGCAAUGCUACAUCUCAAUGGGAUUUUCCAGUACAAAGAUUCUUUUCAAAUAACAUAAUUGUGGAUACACACCACUCCUACAGUGGUAAACCUCAGGUUCUCCUCCUGCCUUUUGCUAAGUAUAUGUCUUGAUGACAAGCCUUCUGCUGAUGAGCUGUGUUUCUGGACCGAUCAUGGUAGAAGUCAAUUAACGUGUCCCUCACUU
This 719-nucleotide long non-coding RNA is filed under the name Homo sapiens (human). RNAcentral's name for it is "testis expressed 41". The record is from RNAcentral. Lineage: Eukaryota; Metazoa; Chordata; Mammalia; Primates; Hominidae.